Molecule: long non-coding RNA, 707 nt
Organism: Notolabrus celidotus (New Zealand spotty)
Lineage: Eukaryota; Metazoa; Chordata; Actinopteri; Labriformes; Labridae
Exons: 2
Source: RefSeq, a predicted model, not a curated record
AUUAAUUGCUGUCAAAUGACCAGGUUGACGAGUUAAUGUGAUGGCAACUUUUCAGUAGCUAUGCCCUGAAGCAUAACAUGCUUUACUACUUUAACAAGAGUGUUACUCACUAAGCACCUGUGUUUAGAAACUAAGUGGAGACCCAGCUAACUGCUGCUGACAUGGUCAAUUUUAUUUCAGCACUUUACUCUGCUGUCAGAAAGCCUAUUUGCUUUAGCACUAUUUGAUGACACCACAAAGGUUAGAUGAAAUAUAAAACAUAAUGACUGACUUAAUAAAAAUAAUGCUUACCUGAGCUGGAUAAAACUUGGGAUGAGACCAUGAAAAUCUGGACAAUUGAAAAUGUCAAUUAAGCCCCCCCACCCCCAUCCAUCCCCAGAGCUGCAGUUUUCUGGUGUGUGUCAUCACUGGAUAUUACAUUUUUCAAGAUGGGAAAAGUACAAAAGUAAUGUCCAAAUCCGAUAUUGUUACCCAAUCAACAGAAAUAUGCUGGAUGUUUGUGCGUUUGUGUGUGCACGAUGGAGGCAGAGCACAGAGUUAUUGUAAGAGAUUUUAACCACGGGGAAUGAAAACGAAUAAAACUGCAAUGAAAAGUUAAUUUCUGCUGGACAAAUUGCUCUAAUAUCAUUUAGAGACAUCAAAACUCUUCAGUUUUCUUUGUAAAUCCACUAGAGUGAGGUCUGGUACAGUACACAGCUAAAAUAUUA